This 24-nucleotide unclassified non-coding RNA is filed under the name Trypanosoma evansi. RNAcentral's name for it is "partial trans-spliced leader sequence". The record is from RNAcentral. Lineage: Eukaryota; Euglenozoa; Kinetoplastea; Trypanosomatida; Trypanosomatidae.
UAGAACAUUUCUGUACUAUAUUGG